AGGGUUCCUGGGGGUGUGGGAGUGCGGGAGGCGACCUGCGCUUGUCCCGCGGCCUCGAGGUGACACACGCCGCCAGUCUGCGUCCCCGGCUGUCUGCGCAUCCCGUCGCGCACGUGGCCGGGCGCGCGGGGAGGUAGCGCCGGCUCCUCUGGAAGCCCUCGCAGCGGCAGCGCCCCCAGCCUCGCAGCCCCGGCGGGGGCCGAGAGCGCACCUGGCUGGAGAUGCUUCCUCCUCACCCUGGGCUCUGACCUCACGCCCGCAGCCCGAGGGCCCUCCCUGGUACCUCUGCCCUGCUGGCCGGUGCCUGGAGUGGCCCCGCCCGACUCCUGCCGUCUGACACGGUCCUGGCUGCCCUCCGGGCUCUCCAGCAGCUGCUGUCCACCUCCACCAGGGAGCCCACCUUGAUUGCUGCGACAGCCGCACUCAAAGGCUGAACAGCCGGGGUACACAUUGCCCUGGUCUGGACUUCACCCUGUCGUGCCCCUUCCCUGCUCUCUGUACAGAAGUCUGACUCACCUGUGUGGUUUGGUGCAAACCCACAGAUUGCCAACAUUGGUCCAAAGUCACCGGCCUGAGAGCAGCUCAGGGUUCCAGGACGUGAGUGGCCACCCGCCAGCCCCAGGGCUAGUGGGUUGAGAGUUGGGGGCCAGAGGGCCCAGGGGCUGGUCCUCUUGGCACUGCCAGGCGUUCUCAGUGGCCCUCAGGGGUCUAAAUAUUGUGGCAGACAUCCCCGGGCGGUCUGGUGUGACCGUCAGCGCGCACACACACUUGCCUCGGAGCUUCCAGCCUCCCCUAAGUCUGACCUCUCAUCUCUAUACAGUCACCAUCGCUGUCCCUGCGCUGACCACUCACACACCACUCCCCUGUUCAGCUCUUCUGAGGCUGUGGCUCUCGGGACUGGCCCAGGCCCACCUGCCAUCUGGGCGCCCUCUGGGGCUCGCUUCGUCGCCCGCUGCCUGGGCCCAUGCCUGUGCUCCUGGGGGCUCCUCUCUUGCCUAGCUCAUCUCUUCCUGUCCCUUGGGUCCUGAGGAUCAAAGCCAACGCGACAUUGUUUGUCCCCAGGCCCCUCCCCCUCCAGCCGCUGCUUCCCAGAGCUCUGUCCAGUUCUCUCCCGCAGUACGAGGGCAGGGUUGGGGCUGGUGGGUUAGCCUUCCCCCACCCACCACGCACCCAGCACAGGGCUCCCCCGAGAUCAGAUCCCUGGUAGGAUGACACCCCAAGCCUUCCCCUCCAGCAGUAUCCACACAGCACCUGCGAAGGAGGAGGGGCUGCUGCCCAUGUGGGUCCUCCCGGGGACCUACCUGAGGGUCCAGUGGGGCUGCCCUCUUCUGUGCUGGACACGCAGCAGAGGUGGGCAGAGAUGCUGGAGAGCACGGUAGGUCUAGGGGGUGACCACUACAGUUGAGUUCAUGUCAGUCUGGAGGGGCGAGGGUCCUCAGCCUGACAUGUCAGGCUAGUCUUCCUUGAGUCUGACAUGUCAGGCUCCAGGCCAGUCUUCCCUGAGUCAUCCUGGCCGUAGAAGACCAGGCUCUGGCGGGCAGGCACCCCACCCUGGCUCUCCCUAGGCCCCGGGUCUUGCUCUGAAACCCUCAAGUGUCCCUUAACUAAGAUCCAGGAGGACUUGCUCCUUCAGAAAGCACGGUGUGCCUGUCCUCCACGGCCCUCCUCCCGCUCACUCCAGGUGUGCUGGAGAUUCCUCCAGGCCUCCAGAUGGGAUUCCUGCCACACAGGCCUCGGUGAAAGCCUCCGGAGGGCUCCUGCGUGGGGGUCCAGCAGCCUGGCCCUGGAGUGGAGGGCAGGGCAGGGCCAGAGGCAGCCCUUUCCCUAAAGUGUGACAUCUUUGUAACCACGUCUGUCCAGACACUGGUGUAUGUUGUCGAUUUACUGUUGUACGUGCUUGUGUGUGCAGCGAGGACCCUUGCACUGACGGUGAGCUCCGUGCGGGGUCAGCAUGGUCCCCAGCCCUUCCCUCUCCCCCGGGACUGUUUGACAUUGAGGCCUCUUUUAGACUGUGUCUGGCCCAGGCCACCACAUCUGAUCUAGUUGGAGUGCUGGGGUCCCCAGUAACGCCAGAUAACCCUGCUCACCUUGUCGUGCCCCUCCCCUGCCAUUGGGCACAGCCCAGCCUGUUCCUCAGCUUGGCAAACAGAUAUGGGUCAUCCCAGUUGUGGAGCAUCUGCGCUCUGCAUACAGGGCAAGAAAAAUCUGAGAGGCCUCAGGGCCUCUCACCCUCUGCCCUGGGCCACCCCUUUCCCACAGGUCCCAUCAACACCCCACCCCCCGGCCAAGUCCCCAGCAGUGCAGGACACCAGCCCUGCCUGUUUUUUCCUGGUUCGUGGAUGGCCCAUCCAGUGGGCCCCAUGGGCAGGCCCAGCCCAUGGGCCAGAGCUGGGGCCGCUCCUGCAGAUAGGAGGUGAGCCAGGAGGUGGGCGUGGCGGGGUCUUGGUGCGGGAGCCGCUCCACCUGGGUACUGACUGCAGAGGGCCCAGCCCAGCCCCUUCCUGUGUCCUCCCACCCCCCACCCCACCUGAAGCUCAGGCCGGCAUGGCAUGGGUGCCUCCUUCCCUUGGGCUAUCCUGCUGAGAGGGGCAGCCUU
Molecule: long non-coding RNA, 2596 nt
Filed under: Homo sapiens (human)
Lineage: Eukaryota; Metazoa; Chordata; Mammalia; Primates; Hominidae
Description: non-protein coding lnc-IL17REL-5:1
Source: RNAcentral